CAAAGAGUGUCGUUUCUCUUCAACGGACUGACUGCCGACUUGAUGUUUGCGAAUGCACUUAGAGAACGUUCGCCCGUUCGAGCCCGCGAUUCCACGACGUUUGUGGAAAGAAUUAUAUAAAGAUCCGCUAUAUUCUUCAACCGGACUUCCACCGUAGGCAUCAAACUACUCUCGUGGAUUUAUACUACACACGCUGUGACAGCUGAGCCAGGGAAAAUAGGAAGAAAAAGAAGAAAAAGGAAAAAAAAAAAAGAGGCAACAAAGGCCCUCCCCGAACAUCUCCGUCUCUCGCUCUCGAUAUCUCUCGACGUCCUUCUUACCACAAAUCCGACGACGUUACCUACAAAGAGCAGAAGGAGGAUGAGGAAGGAGGAGAAGGAGGAGGAGGAGGAGGAGGAGGAGGAGGAGAAUUUUUGAAGGCAGCCGGUCGGUCUCAACUCGUCGUAUUCGUGCGGUGAAAGAGAUCUCGGACGCUGGUGGAAUCGACGGCAAGAAACUGCAAUUUUCUAAAGUACGGCCUUAGCUACGGGGUCCGUCUUUAUCCCGGGGUCAAAUUCGCACCGACCACCCCCUUCACCUUCGAUUCUUCCACCAAGGGAAGAAGGAACCGGCCACGAACCGGCCACCAACCGGCCACGAACCGUUCCGCUAUAGGCAUCCGCUACCUCCGGUAAACUCUAAUUAGAUUUUAAGUGAGAAAUUGAGCCCGCCGGCAAUUUUAAGGAAGCCGAAUGCACCGGCCCGAUUAAUAUCAUUAUAUUCGUUGCUCGAUCGUUACCUGGAGAGAGGGGGCGGGGGGCUGGGGAAUCUCUUCGUUCGAAAGAUAGUACGGGGUUCAAGAUUUCUUUCCUUUUUUUUUCUCUCUUUUCUUUUUUUUCUCUUUCUCUUCUUCUCGAUCAAAGAUCGCGUUAAUCAAAGUCUAAGAUCGUACGAAAAAAAUCCCCUCCGUAAAGAAUUUCAAACUCCGCGGGGUGUAUUCGAACGACAAAUAGUUCUUUCGAUUAUAAUUGUCACAUUUUAAAUAAUCAUUAUUAUUAAUUAAUAUCAUUUAGUUCUCCUUUUCUUGUUUUUUUUUUUUUUUUUUUUUUUUUUUCUUUUUUUAUUUACGCACAUUUCUAUUGUGUGCGCGCGCGCGUUUUUUCUUUCUCCUUCUUUUUCUUCCUCUACUUUUUUUUAACCGCUCAAUUUAUUCCACCGAUAAAGAUUAUAUAUAUUUUCUCUCUCUUUCUCUCUCUCUCUCUCUCUCUCUCUCUCUCUCUCUCUAUCUUUCUCUGGAAGCUUUAACGACCAUUUAAUAUCGUGCUAAUGACGGUUCUCUUGGAUAGUAGAUAAUGAUUUCGAUCGUCUCGCUUGCUCCAACGAGAGAAAUAUCAUCGACGUUUUAUAAUCCAAACGGAGACUCGCCGCCUCUAUAGCUCGGUUCUCGAAUCGAUUAUAUCGAAAGAUCCAGCGCGGAUUUAUUUAUGUAAAAAUAUUCCGCGCUUACCCAUAAUGGUAAUAUCAAUGCGGACAUUUAAAUCAAUUAUUUUAUAAGAUUAUCAUUUCCAUCAUAACGGAACAAAAUCGGCUAUCAAUAUAAUACGUUUAAAUGGCGCCUAGACGUUUAACGCCGAUAUUUAAUCUUUAAAAUCUCGGACACGCGUUGUAAAUAUUGUAUAGAAAAAAAAAAGAAAAAAGAAAAAAGAAAAAAGAAAAAAAAAGGAAAUAAAAAAAUAAAAAAACCCAAAGAAGGAAAAAGAAAAGAAAAAAAGGAUCAGCAAACCUCGGGAAAAAGUUUCGAGUUUAUCUGUGGAGUAAACGAAUUGUUGAAGGGGAAGGAAGGGGAAUUAAUAAGGGCGAAGUGGGGGCAGGUAAAUCGAACCGGCAUAGAUCCGGAUGGACUAAGGGUGUCGAAGGGAAGAGAAGAGCAACUUACCCUUCAACCGUGACGCGAUCAUCCUGCCAUUCAUCAGUAGUAGCUGACUUUUACAAACGUCGUGACGCGGCGUAGCUAAUGGUACCUUUUAAAUGCCGGACAACGGGCGAUAAUUCUAACGUUUCACUUCUGAAGUUCUCUCCCUAUCUCUCAUACGAAUCCUCGGAAUCUCUUAUGGUCGUUACGCGUCACCUGUCGUCGCAUUCGUAGAACGGACACGCGACGUUUACGUGAAAGAAUGAUCUACGGUCUCUCUCUCUCUCUCUCUCUCUCUCUCUCUCUUUGUCUUUUCAAUUGGAAAAAAAAA
This is a long non-coding RNA of Vespa velutina, 2222 nucleotides long. RefSeq lists it as uncharacterized. The record is from RefSeq and is a predicted model, not a curated record. The transcript is spliced from 3 exons. NCBI's taxonomy places the organism in Eukaryota, Metazoa, Arthropoda, Insecta, Hymenoptera, Vespidae.